Coccinella septempunctata (seven-spotted ladybird) is the source of this 623-nucleotide long non-coding RNA. RefSeq lists it as uncharacterized. The record is from RefSeq and is a predicted model, not a curated record. The transcript has 3 exons. Lineage: Eukaryota; Metazoa; Arthropoda; Insecta; Coleoptera; Coccinellidae.
GCGAAUGUGACACAUCAUGUCAUUGUCAUUGAUCAUUGGCGAACUUCACUCUAAACGUUGUCUCUAGCAAUAAAAUUGCUAUUUAUAUUAAUCAGUAUCUAAGUAAUAGAUAUUUAUGUUAUUGGAGCAUUAUUGGGAAAUAGUUGAUCUACGAUAUAUCUCAAGUUAGAGGGUUUGCAACGGUUCAAGAUAUACACAAUGAAGUCGGUACAAGAGUAUAAUGGAAGUGUUCUUGAUGAUGAAUAUACAAUGGUUAAAUAGGUUGAAUACCUUAAAACGUGUUGUGGACAUAAAGGUGAUAAAAUACUAUUUGGGAUGUCAUGCUACGAUUUGUUCUUGUACCGUCAAGUGAUGUCGUUAGUGAUUGCAGUCAUUGUCGAUUGAUAGGUGACAAGCGAUGCAUUAUUGUAGAAGAAAUACAUAAAGGUGAAAGGUACUACUUGAUGGCAGUUACGGAAGCACUGGAAAUAUAAUGAUAAUUUCCACUUCGACAAGUAGAUAAUUGAGAGAAACUUGUAGAAGGUAUAGGAGAUCGGAAUGUGUCAAAAGAUUGGAGGUUAUGUAGUAGAAGGGGAUUACAUGUUUUUUGUUAGUUAUUGAAGAGUGAAUGAUUAUUCUGAAUU